GGUGAAGCCCAGCUUGCUGGGUGGAUCAGUGGCGAACGGGUGAGUAACACGUGAGCAAUCUGCCCCUGACUCUGGGAUAAGCGCUGGAAACGGCGUCUAAUACUGGAUAUGAGCUGCGAUCGCAUGGUCAGUAGCUGGAAAGAUUUUUUGGUCAGGGAUGAGCUCGCGGCCUAUCAGCUUGUUGGUGAGGUAAUGGCUCACCAAGGCGUCGACGGGUAGCCGGCCUGAGAGGGUGACCGGCCACACUGGGACUGAGACACGGCCCAGACUCCUACGGGAGGCAGCAGUGGGGAAUAUUGCACAAUGGGCGCAAGCCUGAUGCAGCAACGCCGCGUGAGGGAUGACGGCCUUCGGGUUGUAAACCUCUUUUAGCAGGGAAGAAGCGAAAGUGACUGUACCUGCAGAAAAAGCGCCGGCUAACUACGUGCCAGCAGCCGCGGUAAUACGUAGGGCGCAAGCGUUAUCCGGAAUUAUUGGGCGUAAAGAGCUCGUAGGCGGUUUGUCGCGUCUGCUGUGAAAUCCCGAGGCUCAACCUCGGGUCUGCAGUGGGUACGGGCAGACUAGAGUGCGGUAGGGGAGAUUGGAAUUCCUGGUGUAGCGGUGGAAUGCGCACAUAUCAGGAGGAACACCGAUGGCGAAGGCAGAUCUCUGGGCCGUAACUGACGCUGAGGAGC
Molecule: ribosomal RNA, 674 nt
Filed under: Microbacterium sp. AI-29
Lineage: Bacteria; Bacillati; Actinomycetota; Actinomycetes; Micrococcales; Microbacteriaceae
Description: bacterial SSU rRNA
Rfam family: Bacterial small subunit ribosomal RNA
Source: RNAcentral